GGUGGGGAGUUUGGCUGGGG
RNAcentral lists this small nuclear RNA (20 nucleotides) under Arabidopsis thaliana (thale cress). RNAcentral describes it as "snRNA_03268". The record is from RNAcentral. Lineage: Eukaryota; Viridiplantae; Streptophyta; Magnoliopsida; Brassicales; Brassicaceae.